Molecule: ribosomal RNA, 415 nt
Filed under: uncultured prokaryote
Description: bacterial SSU rRNA
Rfam family: Bacterial small subunit ribosomal RNA
Source: RNAcentral
GUGCCAGCCGCCGCGGUAAUACGAAUGGGGCAAGCGUUGUUCGGAUUUACUGGGCGUAAAGCGGGCGUAGGCGGCCGGCUAAGUCGGAUGUGAAAUCCCGGGGCUCAACUCCGGAACUGCAUUCGAUACUGGUCGGCUAGAGUUCGAGAGGGGGAUGCGGAAUUCCGCGUGUAGCAGUGAAAUGCGUAGAUAUGCGGAGGAACACCUGAGGCGAAGGCGGCAUCCUGGAUCGACACUGACGCUGAGGCCCGAAAGCGUGGGGAGCAAACAGGAUUAGAUACCCUGGUAGUCCACGCCCUAAACGAUGUCUACUAGCCGUUGCGGGUAUCGACCCCUGCAGUGGCGCAGCUAACGCGAUAAGUAGACCGCCUGGGGAGUACGGCCGCAAGGUUAAAACUCAAAGGAAUUGACGGGG